Long non-coding RNA from Erinaceus europaeus (western European hedgehog), 620 nucleotides. RefSeq lists it as uncharacterized. The transcript has 2 exons. The record is from RefSeq and is a predicted model, not a curated record. Lineage: Eukaryota; Metazoa; Chordata; Mammalia; Eulipotyphla; Erinaceidae.
AUUUUGUAAUUUUAGAAAAAGUACAAGAACAUUCCACCAAAGAGAAGCCUAAGUUGCAUGGGAGUAAACAAAGGACAGAAAAAUGGAGAGGGGGAAGAGAAAGAUAGGCACCUGACGACCAGCUUUACCACCUAUGAAGCGACUCCCCUGCAGGUGGGGAGCCAGGGGCUCAACUGCUAUCCUUCAACCUGUCCUUACACUUCAUGCCAUGUGUGCUUAACCUGCUGUGCUACCUCCUGAUUCCCAAUCCCAGCCCCUUUUUACCACUUUUUUAACUUUACUUUUAAUUUGAGGUUUAAAGAAAUUUUUUAUUUGUUACUGGGUAGAGACAGAGAAAUUGAGAGAGACAGGGAGAUAGAGAGGAAGAUAAAUACCUUCAGACCUGCUUCACUGCCUGUGACGUGAUUCCCCUGCAGGUGGAGAAAGCCAGGGGCUUGAACUGAGAUCCUAACCGGUUCUUGCUCUUUGCGCUGUGCAUGCUUAACCUGUCGCACUACCGCCCGACUCCCUGGACAUCUUUCUAUAAUUUUGAAUAUUUGUGAUUUUUUUCAUUAUACAUUUUUAUUGAAAUCUAUUGUUAAUGUCUGAUUUUGUGGCUUAUUGAGUAAAAUAAUGUCCUG